UACAGAGGGUGCAAGCGUUAAUCGGAAUUACUGGGCGUAAAGCGUGCGUAGACGGUUAUUUAAGUCAGGUGUGAAAGCCCCGGGCUCAACCUGGGAAUUGCAUUUGAGACUGAAUAGCUAGGGUGCGGAAGAGGGAAGCGGAAUUUCCGGUGGAGCGGUGAAAUGCGUUGAGAUCGGAAGGAACGCCCGUGGCGAAAGCGAGUUCCUGGACGUCGGCUGACGCUGAGACGCGAAAGCCAGGGGAGCGAACGGG
Molecule: ribosomal RNA, 253 nt
Filed under: uncultured bacterium
Lineage: Bacteria
Description: partial 16S ribosomal RNA
Rfam family: Bacterial small subunit ribosomal RNA
Source: RNAcentral